CGUUGAAACACCCGUUCCCGUACGAUCACCGAAGUUAAGCAACGUCGAGUCUGGUCUCUUCCUAUAUAGGUGACCGCUUGGAAAUACAAGGCGUUGUAA
Non-coding RNA from Acanthosepion pharaonis, 99 nucleotides. Lineage: Eukaryota; Metazoa; Mollusca; Cephalopoda; Sepiida; Sepiidae. The record is from the annotation of a GenBank genome assembly.